Molecule: ribosomal RNA, 483 nt
Filed under: uncultured bacterium
Lineage: Bacteria
Description: bacterial SSU rRNA
Rfam family: Bacterial small subunit ribosomal RNA
Source: RNAcentral
AUUGAACGCUGGCGGAAUGCUUUACACAUGCAAGUCGAGCGGCAGCGCGGGGCAACCUGGCGGCGAGCGGCGAACGGGUGAGGUAACACAUCGGAACGUGCCCAGACGUGGGGGAUAGCCCGGCGAAAGCCGGAUUAAUACCGCAUGUGAUCUGAGGAUGAAAGUGGGGGACCGCAAGGCCUCGCGCGUUUGGAGCGGCCGAUGGCAGAUUAGGUAGUUGGUGGGGUAAAGGCUUACCAAGCCUGCGAUCUGUAGCUGGUCUGAGAGGAUGAUCAGCCACACUGGGACUGAGACACGGCCCAGACUCCUACGGGAGGCAGCAGUGGGGAAUUUUGGACAAUGGGCGCAAGCCUGAUCCAGCCAUUCCGCGUGCAGGACGAAGGCCUUCGGGUUGUAAACUGCUUUUGUACGGAACGAAAAGCCCUUCUCUAAUAAAGGGGGGUCAUGACGGUACCGUAAGAAUAAGCACCGGCUAACUACGUG